RNAcentral lists this long non-coding RNA (231 nucleotides) under Ricinus communis (castor bean). RNAcentral's name for it is "long non-coding RNA (RCOM_LNC002235)". The record is from RNAcentral. Lineage: Eukaryota; Viridiplantae; Streptophyta; Magnoliopsida; Malpighiales; Euphorbiaceae.
UCCGACUUCUUCUUCUUCGGACUUUUGUAAUUAUCUUGUACUUAUAUACUUGUCAUUUUUACUCUAGAGUAUCCGCAGUAGGAAAUUUUAAAAUUUAUAUAACUAUUCUGACUCCUGUUGGUAGUAUGAUGAUGUAUUAUGCAAGACAAUUAUGACUAUUUUAUAUUUGGUUAAUUGUAUAUAUGGAUUUGCGGGUUGGUAAGGCUUACUACGGGUUUCGGUGGCCUUAAG